This 115-nucleotide microRNA precursor is filed under the name Anopheles christyi. Lineage: Eukaryota; Metazoa; Arthropoda; Insecta; Diptera; Culicidae. The record is from RNAcentral.
CUGGUGUCAGUGCUCCGUCGUAUAUGAUUUUGUUGUACGACUUUUUAAAUUUUUGUAUGUGAUUUGACAGAUAAAAUCCCAUACAAAAAUCGUAUACGACGGAGCACUGACACCA